Molecule: unclassified non-coding RNA, 613 nt
Filed under: Hevea brasiliensis (rubber tree)
Lineage: Eukaryota; Viridiplantae; Streptophyta; Magnoliopsida; Malpighiales; Euphorbiaceae
Source: RNAcentral
CAGGAAUGGUGAAUCGAAACCUUCUUGGCAGAAAGACCCAGUUUGCAUACUUAGCUCUUGCCGAGCCAUGGCCGAAAGUGUCUGGUUUUGCUAAAGUAGACCUCUCAACAGGAGAGGUACACAAGUAUAUCUAUGGAAACAACAAGUAUGGUGGUGAGCCUCUGUUUCUUCCGAGUGAACCAAACUCCAAUUCAGGCAAAGAAGAUUCUGGGUACAUUUUAUGCUUUGUUCAUGACGAAAAACAGUGGAAAUCAGAGCUACAAAUUGUGAAUGCCAUGAAUUUGCAGCUAGAAGCAACAGUGAAACUUCCUAGCCGAGUUCCUUAUGGUUUUCAUGGCACGUUUAUUAGUGCUAAGGAUUUGGAGAAGCAAGCCUAGAUAGAGAAGGCUGUGUAGGUAUGAUUUUCUUAGCAGAAGAUUCAGAGAGGAGAUUGACCAGAGGGAUUGUUUGCAGAUACGUCCCCGGGUCUCCUCAUCUGUCACAGUGUCAUCCUGUUUCUGGUUAUUUUUUCUCUUUUGGUUCACAUGUUUCAGAGUGAGAGGCUGAGGGAGCAGCUUGUAGCUUUCUGGGUAUAGGUAGACUGAAGCUCAGCUGGUCUCUGCUUAUUCUUUCA